AUUGAACGCUGGCGGCAUGCCUUACACAUGCAAGUCGAACGGCAGCAUGGAGGAGCUUGCUCCUCUGAUGGCGAGUGGCGAACGGGUGAGUAAAGCAUCGGAACGUGCCGUGUAGUGGGGGAUAACGUAGCGAAAGUUACGCUAAUACCGCAUACGCACCGAGGUGGAAAGCAGGGGAUCGCAAGACCUUGCGCUAUACGAGCGGCCGAUGUCAGAUUAGCUAGUUGGUAGGGUAAAGGCCUACCAAGGCGACGAUCUGUAGCGGGUCUGAGAGGAUGAUCCGCCACACUGGAACUGAGACACGGCCCAGACUCCUACGGGAGGCAGCAGUGGGGAAUAUUGGACAAUGGGCGCAAGCCUGAUCCAGCAAUGCCGCGUGGGUGAAGACGGCCUGCGGGUUGUAAAGCCCUUUAAGCGGGGAGGAACGCCGGAACGCGAAUACCGUUUCGGACUGACGUUACCCGCAGAAUAAGCACCGGCUAACUCCGUG
This 490-nucleotide ribosomal RNA is filed under the name uncultured bacterium. RNAcentral describes it as "bacterial SSU rRNA". It matches the Rfam family "Bacterial small subunit ribosomal RNA", at positions 29 to 507 of the family's 1533-position model. The record is from RNAcentral.